RNAcentral lists this unclassified non-coding RNA (349 nucleotides) under soil metagenome. RNAcentral's name for it is "partial contains 5.8S ribosomal RNA, internal transcribed spacer 2, and large subunit ribosomal RNA". The stretch from base 1 to 120 matches the Rfam family "5.8S ribosomal RNA", at positions 35 to 154 of the family's 154-position model. The record is from RNAcentral.
GAUGAAGAACGUAGCGAAAUGCGAUAAGUAAUGUGAAUUGCAGAAUUCAGUGAAUCAUCGAGUCUUUGAACGCACAUUGCGCCCCCUGGUAUUCCGGGGGGCAUGCCUGUCCGAGCGUCAUUGCUGCCCUCAAGCACGGCUUGUGUGUUGGGCCUCCGCCCCCCGGCUCCCGGGGGGCGGGCCCGAAAGGCAGCGGCGGCACCGCGUCCGGUCCUCGAGCGUAUGGGGCUUCGUCACCCGCUCCGUAGGCCCGGCCGGCGCCCGCCGGCGACCCCCCUCAAUCUUUCCAGGUUGACCUCGGAUCAGGUAGGGAUACCCGCUGAACUUAAGCAUAUCAAUAAGCGGAGGA